AUACUUACCUGGCAGGAGAGACACCAUGAUCAAGAAGGUGGUUCACUCAAGGCGAGACUCAGCCAUUGCACCUGGGCUUUGUUGACCUUUGUGAAUUCCCCAAAUGCGGGAAUCUCAACUGCAUAAUUUAUGGUACUUGGGGACUGCGUUCGCGCUCUCCCCUG
Tachysurus fulvidraco (yellow catfish) is the source of this 164-nucleotide small nuclear RNA. RefSeq annotates it as U1 spliceosomal RNA. The transcript has a single exon. Lineage: Eukaryota; Metazoa; Chordata; Actinopteri; Siluriformes; Bagridae. The record is from RefSeq and is a predicted model, not a curated record.